This is a non-coding RNA of Candidatus Pacebacteria bacterium CG1_02_43_31, 73 nucleotides long. Lineage: Bacteria; Bacillati; Minisyncoccota. The record is from Rfam.
GCGCCAAUAGCUCAGUGGAUAGAGCAACUGCCUUCUAAGCAGUAGGUCCCUGGUUCGAGUCCAGGUUGGCGCA